Molecule: non-coding RNA, 73 nt
Organism: Cordylochernes scorpioides
Lineage: Eukaryota; Metazoa; Arthropoda; Arachnida; Pseudoscorpiones; Chernetidae
Source: the annotation of a GenBank genome assembly
AUCCAGGGAUGGGAAUCGAACCCACAAUGUUCCGCUUACCGGGCAGAUGCCAUGUCCAGUAGGCUACCCUGGA